AAGUGUUACAGCUCUGUUAGAAUUUGUCUUGCAGGUUUUCUGGUCUCUAACAGAAGAGCCCUC
Molecule: small nuclear RNA, 63 nt
Organism: Otolemur garnettii (small-eared galago)
Lineage: Eukaryota; Metazoa; Chordata; Mammalia; Primates; Galagidae
Gene: U7
Rfam family: U7 small nuclear RNA
About the family: Animal histone pre-mRNAs are spliced by a different mechanism than nuclear pre-mRNAs and self-splicing introns. This processing involves the U7 snRNP, which contains only one RNA species: U7. The 5' end of U7 RNA is thought to base-pair to a conserved spacer element downstream of the cleavage site in histone pre-mRNA.
Source: Ensembl